RNAcentral lists this ribosomal RNA (382 nucleotides) under Gemmatimonadota bacterium. RNAcentral describes it as "bacterial SSU rRNA". It matches the Rfam family "Bacterial small subunit ribosomal RNA", at positions 1 to 372 of the family's 1533-position model. The record is from RNAcentral. Lineage: Bacteria; Pseudomonadati; Gemmatimonadota.
CUUUUGGAGAGUUUGAUCCUGGCUCAGGACGAACGCUGGCGGCGUGCCUAACACAUGCAAGUCGUACGAAUGGUGGAGAGCUUGCUUUUCACCGUUAGUGGCGGACGGGUGCGUAACACGUGAGCAACCUGCCCUUCGGCGGGGGAUAGCCGGUCUAACGGCCGGGUAAUACCGCGUACGACCUCGGGCUCGCAUGGGCCUGGGGUGAAAGCGGCCGCAAGGUCGCACCGGAGGAGGGGCUCGCGGCCUAUCAGCUUGUUGGUGAGGUAACGGCUCACCAAGGCGACGACGGGUAGCUGGUCUGAGAGGAUGGUCAGCCACAUUGGGACUGAGAUACGGCCCAGACUCCUACGGGAGGCAGCAGUGGGGAAUAUUGCGAAAU